CCUGGUGCAAAAAGUUGGGGACCGCUGACUUACUGGUGCAGGCACUGUUCCAGAUUCUGAAAACACAGCGUGAUUCUUGCUGCGGUGUCCUCGACCGAGUCUCCUCCCUCUGGAUCUGUGUUUCCAGCUGUGAAAUGAGGAUUUAGGGUUGUCAUCAGUUGGUGUUCUAGGGCUCCUAUGUCAGAAUGACAGUGGUGGCAGGGGACAUGCGCCAUCCGCCUGGCUGUUUCACAUAUCGGAUCCCCGAGAUGUAACCUGUCGUAACCACCUGGCGACUCUGCUGAGAGUCUCUGGAGCGACAGGUGUGCAUACACGCCCUCAGGCACCUGGAGAACUGGGCCCUCGGAGUUCUGCUGUGGCCGAUGAGGAAACUGAGACACAGUGAAGAGACUGUCUUACACAGCCGGUGGUGGAGGGCAAUUGGACUCAAACCAAGGCUUGCUGGCUCC
This is a long non-coding RNA of Artibeus jamaicensis (Jamaican fruit-eating bat), 449 nucleotides long. RefSeq lists it as uncharacterized. NCBI's taxonomy places the organism in Eukaryota, Metazoa, Chordata, Mammalia, Chiroptera, Phyllostomidae. The record is from RefSeq and is a predicted model, not a curated record. The transcript has 4 exons.